RNAcentral lists this ribosomal RNA (254 nucleotides) under uncultured bacterium. RNAcentral describes it as "partial 16S ribosomal RNA". It matches the Rfam family "Bacterial small subunit ribosomal RNA", at positions 524 to 776 of the family's 1533-position model. The record is from RNAcentral.
UACGUAGGGGGCGAGCGUUGUCCGGAAUCAUUGGGCGUAAAGCGCGUGUAGGCGGCCCGGUAAGUCCGCUGUGAAAGUCCAGGGCUCAACCCUGGGAUGCCGGUGGAUACUGUCGGGCUCGAGUCCGGAAGAGGCGAGUGGAAUUCCUGGUGUAGCGGUGAAAUGCGCAGAUAUCAGGAGGAACACCAAUGGCGAAGGCAGCUCGCUGGGACGGUAACUGACACUGAGACGCGAAAGCGUGGGGAGCAAACAGG